RNAcentral lists this ribosomal RNA (468 nucleotides) under uncultured bacterium. RNAcentral describes it as "partial 16S ribosomal RNA". It matches the Rfam family "Bacterial small subunit ribosomal RNA", at positions 28 to 507 of the family's 1533-position model. The record is from RNAcentral.
GACGAACGCUGGCGGCGUGCUUAACACAUGCAAGUCGAACGGAAAGGCCCUGCUUUUGUGGGGUGCUCGAGUGGCGAACGGGUGAGUAACACGUGAGUAACCUGCCCUUGACUUUGGGAUAACUUCAGGAAACUGGGGCUAAUACCGGAUAGGAGCUCCUGCUGCAUGGUGGGGGUUGGAAAGUUUCGGCGGUUGGGGAUGGACUCGCGGCUUAUCAGCUUGUUGGUGGGGUAGUGGCUUACCAAGGCUUUGACGGGUAGCCGGCCUGAGAGGGUGACCGGCCACAUUGGAACUGAGAUACGGCCCAGACUCCUACGGGAGGCAGCAGUUGGGAAUAUUGCACAAUGGGCGGAAGCCUGAUGCAGCAACGCCGCGUGCGGGAUGACGGCCUUCGGGUUGUAAACCGCUUUCGCCUGUGACGAAGCGUGAGUGACGGUAAUGGGUAAAGAAGCACCGGCUAACUACGUG